Molecule: ribosomal RNA, 497 nt
Filed under: uncultured bacterium
Lineage: Bacteria
Description: partial 16S ribosomal RNA
Rfam family: Bacterial small subunit ribosomal RNA
Source: RNAcentral
GAUGAACGCUGGCGGCGUGCCUAAUACAUGCAAGUCGAGCGAACGGACGAGAAGCUUGCUUCUCUGAUGUUAGCGGCGGACGGGUGAGUAACACGUGGAUAACCUACCUAUAAGACUGGGAUAACUUCGGGAAACCGGAGCUAAUACCGGAUAAUAUUUUGAACCGCAUGGUUCAAAAGUGAAAGACGGUCUUGCUGUCACUUAUAGCUGGAUCCGCGCUGCAUUAGCUAGUUGGUAAGGUAACGGCUUACCAAGGCAACGAUGCAUAGCCGACCUGAGAGGGUGAUCGGCCACACUGGAACUUAGACACGGUCCAGACUCCUACGGGAGGCAGCAGUAGGGAAUCUUCCGCAAUGGGCGAAAGCCUGACGGAGCAACGCCGCGUGAGUGAUGAAGGUCUUCGGAUCGUAAAACUCUGUUAUUAGGGAAGAACAUAUGUGUAAGUAACUGUGCACAUCUUGACGGUACCUAAUCAGAAAGCCACGGCUAACUACGUG